Molecule: ribosomal RNA, 462 nt
Filed under: uncultured cyanobacterium
Lineage: Bacteria; Bacillati; Cyanobacteriota
Description: bacterial SSU rRNA
Rfam family: Bacterial small subunit ribosomal RNA
Source: RNAcentral
GCGGCGUGCCUAACACAUGCAAGUCGAACGGGAAUCUUCGGAUUCUAGUGGCGGACGGGUGAGUAACGCGUAAGAAUCUAACUUCAGGACGGGGACAACAGUUGGAAACGACUGCUAAUACCCGAUGUGCCGCAAGGUGAAACCUAAUUGGCCUGAAGAAGAGCUUGCGUCUGAUUAGCUAGUUGGUGGGGUAAAGGCCUACCAAGGCGACGAUCAGUAGCUGGUCUGAGAGGAUGAGCAGCCACACUGGGGACUGAGACACGGCCCAGACUCCUACGGGAGGCAGCAGUGGGGAAUUUUCCGCAAUGGGCGAAAGCCUGACGGAGCAACGCCGCGUGAGGGAGGAAGGUCUUUGGAUUGUAAACCUCUUUUCUCAAGGAAGAAGUUCUGACGGUACUGGAGGAAUCAGCCUCGGCUAACUCCGUGCCAGCAGCCGCGGUAAUACGGGGGAGGCAAGCGUUA